Molecule: ribosomal RNA, 432 nt
Filed under: uncultured bacterium
Lineage: Bacteria
Description: partial 16S ribosomal RNA
Rfam family: Bacterial small subunit ribosomal RNA
Source: RNAcentral
AACGAACGCUGGCGGCAUGCCUAACACAUGCAAGUCGAACGAGACCUUCGGGUCUAGUGGCGCACGGGUGCGUAACGCGUGGGAACCUGCCCUUAGGUUCGGAAUAACUCCCCGAAAGGGGUGCUAAUACCGGAUAAUGUCUUCGGACCAAAGAUUUAUCGCCUUUGGAUGGGCCCGCGUUGGAUUAGCUAGUUGGUAGGGUGAAAGCCUACCAAGGCGACGAUCCAUAGCUGGUCUGAGAGGAUGAUCAGCCACACUGGGACUGAGACACGGCCCAGACUCCUACGGGGGGCAGCAGGGGGGAAUAUGGGACAAUGGGCGAAAGCCUGAUCCAGCAAGGCCGCGUGAGUGAUGAAGGCCUUAGGGUUGUAAAGCUCUUUUACCCGGGAUGAUAAUGACAGUACCGGGAGAAUAAGCUCCGGCUACCUCCGU